GAUGAAGAACGCAGCGAAAUGCGAUAAGUAAUGUGAAUUGCAGAAUUCAGUGAAUCAUCGAAUCUUUGAACGCACCUUGCGCUCCUUGGUAUUCCGAGGAGCAUGCCUGUUUGAGUGUCAUGAAACCCUCAAACCCAAGUUUUGGAUUUCGAUCCAUGCUUGAGUUUGGAUUUGGAUGUUUGCCGGUGAUGAACCGACUCAUCUUAAAAGUAUUAGCUUGGAUCUGUCUAUAUGACUGGUUUGACUUGGCAUAAUAAGUAUUUUGCUGAGGACAUCUUCGGAUGGCCAGGACCUAGACUACUGUCUGCUAACUAAACCAUCACUUUAAGUGCAUCUUUGGAUGUUACUCAUUGUGUAACUUUGACAUCUGGCCUCAAAUCAAGUAGGACUACCCGCUGAACUUAAGCAUAUCAAUAAGCGGAGGA
This 425-nucleotide unclassified non-coding RNA is filed under the name soil metagenome. RNAcentral describes it as "partial contains 5.8S ribosomal RNA, internal transcribed spacer 2, and large subunit ribosomal RNA". The stretch from base 1 to 120 matches the Rfam family "5.8S ribosomal RNA", at positions 35 to 154 of the family's 154-position model. The record is from RNAcentral.